This is a non-coding RNA of Salmo salar (Atlantic salmon), 54 nucleotides long. The record is from Rfam. Lineage: Eukaryota; Metazoa; Chordata; Actinopteri; Salmoniformes; Salmonidae.
UGCACUCACUACUGUAAGUCGCUCUGGAUAAGAGCGUCUGCUAAAUUACAUGAA